UAUUUUAGUCUUGUUAGAGGAACCUGUUUUAUAAUCGAUAAACCACGAAUAUCUUACUUAUUUUAAAUAAUUUGUAUACCGUCAUUAUCAGAUAACUUUUAAAAAAUUAGUUAUUAAAAUUAAAUAAAUUUAAAUAUAUUAGAUCAAGGUGCAGUUAAUAAAUAAGAAAAAAUGGGUUACAAUAAAAUUUAUUUAUAACGAAUUAUAUAAAUGUAAAAAUGUAUGAAGGAGGAUUUAAUUGUAAUUUUUUAUAAAAUAAUAAUAUGAUAGAAGCUCUAAAAUAU
Molecule: ribosomal RNA, 284 nt
Filed under: Aegla perobae
Lineage: Eukaryota; Metazoa; Arthropoda; Malacostraca; Decapoda; Aeglidae
Description: partial 12S small subunit ribosomal RNA
Source: RNAcentral